RNAcentral lists this long non-coding RNA (1061 nucleotides) under Numida meleagris (helmeted guineafowl). RNAcentral's name for it is "lncRNA (ENSNMEG00000008494.1)". The record is from RNAcentral. Lineage: Eukaryota; Metazoa; Chordata; Aves; Galliformes; Numididae.
AGGGCUACAGUCUUCCUGAGAAAAGGAUUAGAAAGAAAGGCACUUGAAGCUGGUGCAAAAUAUGAGCACUAUCUAGAACAACAGAGUAUGUCAGACUGGUAAAGAAGAGAAGCAAGGCAUGCUGACAAAAUCAAAGGGAAAAAAAAUCUUUGCAAAUUCAAAUAUCUGUGUGCUACCAAGUAUUCUGAAAUGAAAACAGCUUUUAAAGUUUGCCAAAAUAGGAAGCUACUUGUCAAGCUCCAGUAAUUUAUGUGCCAUUUGCUUAGAAGAGAAAGUCAACAUGGGAUGAUGCUCUAAUAACGUUUGUCAUGUGUUAGCAAUUACUUCAGUAUCACUUUUUAGAUCCCUUAAGUAUAUGUGUUACGCUUAUGUAUACUAGAAAAAAAAGUACAAAAGGCUAAAGAGAAGUUUUUAAGUUUAUAAAAUACAGAAAUUUUCUAGACUGGAGAAUUUCUACACAACUGACUGCUUUUUUAAACAGGUAUGAUCAAAACAGGAGUCUGUUUAAUUAUUCUGUAAGACCAAGAAGAAGCAAAUCACUACAGAAGAACGUAGUGUAACACUUCAAGAAAAGCAGUGCAUUGUUAACAGAGAAAUUUUACUCUGCUUUGAGAAUGAGAGUUUGGACUAAAUGACCUGUAGAUGUCCCUUCCAACCCCAACCAUUCUGCAAUUCUGUGAUUUUUUUCAAAGGAACAUCUCUGUUCUUUCUAAUAUGAUCUGCUUCAGGAAAAAAGGAGUGCUUGCUGGCCACAUCUUGUCUCCAGAGUGGGGUGAUGUCUAAUGUGGACUGAAAAUUGCACAAGAAGGAGAGCUGAAUGUGAGAGAUUGGAAGGCAGUUGCAGCAUAUGCAUCUUGCCUGGUCUCCAGUCUGGAUAGAAAACUAGACAAGCGAAAACUCAACUGUUCCUCUAUCUAUAUAGAACAAAUAACUUUUAAAUACUUUCACAAAUCCUUAACUCACUCCAUUAUGCCAGAUUAUGAGUAACCUCCUUCCUUCCUUAAUCAAAAAAGGUAAUGUAUUUCCUAAAAGAUUUGGAUUUUCAUUAAGGAUAAAAUGAU